GACAGAGGAUGCAAGCGUUAUCCGGAAUGAUUGGGCGUAAAGCGUCUGUAGGUGGCUUUUCAAGUCCGCCGUCAAAUCCCAGGGCUCAACCCUGGACAGGCGGUGGAAACUACCAAGCUGGAGUACGGUAGGGGCAGAGGGAAUUUCCGGUGGAGCGGUGAAAUGCAUAGAUAUCGUCAAGAACACCUAUAGCGAAGGCAGCUUACUGGGCUGUAACUGACGCUGAGGCACGAAGGCAUGGGUAGCAAAUCGG
Molecule: ribosomal RNA, 253 nt
Filed under: uncultured bacterium
Lineage: Bacteria
Description: partial 16S ribosomal RNA
Rfam family: Bacterial small subunit ribosomal RNA
Source: RNAcentral